AGUACGACCGCAAGGUUAAAACUCAAAUGAAUUGACGGGGACCCGCACAAGUAGUGGAGCAUGUGGUUUAAUUCGAAGAUACGCGCAGAACCUUACCAACACUUGACAUGUUCGUCGCGACUUUAAGAGAUUAAAGUUUUCGGUUCGGCCGGACGAAACACAGGUGCUGCAUGGCUGUCGUCAGCUCGUGUCGUGAGAUGUUGGGUUAAGUCCCGCAACGAGCGCAACCCUCACUUUUAGUUGCCAUCAUUAAGUUGGGCACUCUGAAAGAACUGCCAGUGAUAAGCUGGAGGAAGGUGGGGAUGACGUCAAGUCCUCAUGGCCCUUACGUGUUGGGCUACACACGUGCUACAAUGGUAUCUACAACAGGAAGCAAAACGGCGACGUUAAGCAAAUCCUCAAAAGAUACCUCAGUUCGGAUUGCACUCUGCAACUCGAGUGCAUGAAGCUGGAAUUACUAGUAAUCGUGGAUCAGCGUGCCACGGUGAAUGCGUUCCCGGGUCUUGUACACACCGCCCGUCACACCAUGGGAGUUGGUUCUACCUUAAGGCAAGGUUUCAAACCCUUGACCACGGUAUAGUCAGCGACUGGGGUGAAGUCGUAACAAGGUAACC
RNAcentral lists this ribosomal RNA (614 nucleotides) under uncultured marine bacterium. RNAcentral describes it as "bacterial SSU rRNA". It matches the Rfam family "Bacterial small subunit ribosomal RNA", at positions 879 to 1501 of the family's 1533-position model. The record is from RNAcentral.